GGGGUAUAGCUCAGCUGGUAGAGCGGCGGUCUCCAAAACCGUAGGCCCAGAGUUCGAUCCUUUGUGC
This 67-nucleotide transfer RNA is filed under the name pig gut metagenome. It matches the Rfam family "tRNA", at positions 5 to 66 of the family's 71-position model. From Rfam's summary of the family: Transfer RNA (tRNA) molecules are approximately 80 nucleotides in length. Their secondary structure includes four short double-helical elements and three loops (D, anti-codon, and T loops). The record is from RNAcentral.